GGCGGGAUAGCUCAGUCGGUAGAGCACUGGAAUCAUAAUCCAUCGGUCGGGGGUUCGAGUCCCUCUCCCGCCACCA
This 76-nucleotide transfer RNA is filed under the name Lentisphaerota bacterium. Its description in RNAcentral is "Lentisphaerae bacterium (anaerobic digester metagenome) tRNA-Met". It matches the Rfam family "tRNA". From Rfam's summary of the family: Transfer RNA (tRNA) molecules are approximately 80 nucleotides in length. Their secondary structure includes four short double-helical elements and three loops (D, anti-codon, and T loops). The record is from RNAcentral. Lineage: Bacteria; Pseudomonadati; Lentisphaerota. RNAcentral also lists the same sequence under 1 other name.